AACGAACGCUGGCGGCAUGCCUAACACAUGCAAGUCGAACGAUGCCUUCGGGCAUAGUGGCGCACGGGUGCGUAACGCGUGGGAAUCUGCCCUUGGCUUCGGAAUAACAGUUAGAAAUGACUGCUAAUACCGGAUGAUGUCCCCCUGAGAGAUCUUGGGGACCAAAGAUUUAUCGGCCAGGGAUGAGCCCGCGUAGGAUUAGGUAGUUGGUGGGGUAAAGGCCUACCAAGCCGACGAUCCUUAGCUGGUCUGAGAGGAUGAUCAGCCACACUGGGACUGAGACACGGCCCAGACUCCUACGGGAAGCAGCAGUGGGGAAUAUUGGACAAUGGGGGGAACCCUGAUCCAGCAAUGCCGCGUGAGUGAUGAAGGCCUUAGGGUUGUAAAGCUCUUUUACCAGGGAUGAUAAUGACAGUACCUGGAGAAUAAGCUCCGGCUAACUCCGUG
Molecule: ribosomal RNA, 447 nt
Filed under: uncultured bacterium
Lineage: Bacteria
Description: partial 16S ribosomal RNA
Rfam family: Bacterial small subunit ribosomal RNA
Source: RNAcentral